Molecule: ribosomal RNA, 338 nt
Filed under: uncultured bacterium
Lineage: Bacteria
Description: bacterial SSU rRNA
Rfam family: Bacterial small subunit ribosomal RNA
Source: RNAcentral
GACGUGACUUCAGAGUUUGAUCCUGGCUCAGGACGAACGCUGGCGGCGUGCUUAACACAUGCAAGUCGAACGGAAAGGCUCCAGCUUGCUGGGGUACUCGAGUGGCGAACGGGUGAGUAACACGUGAGUGAUCUGCCCCAUACUAUGGGAUAAGCCUGGGAAACUGGGUCUAAUACUGUAUAUGACCGCAUCGUGGGUGGUGUGGUGGAAAGCCUUGUGCGGUAUGGGAUGAGCUUGCGGCCUAUCAGCUUGUUGGUGGGGUAAUGGCCUACCAAGGCGUCGACGGGUAGCCGGCCUGAGAGGGUGGACGGCCACAUUGGGACUGAGAUACGGCCCAG